Molecule: long non-coding RNA, 1284 nt
Filed under: Mytilus galloprovincialis (Mediterranean mussel)
Lineage: Eukaryota; Metazoa; Mollusca; Bivalvia; Mytilida; Mytilidae
Source: RNAcentral
AACUAUCCGUUGCGAAAUGGCCAUGAUAUUAUUGUUCCAUUUUGUAGACUUUCCCUUACUACUGAAUCGUUUGUUCCAUCUACAAUACGUGAAUGGAAUAAACUUGAUCCAAAAGUUCGCAGUGUCGACUCUAUUUCUAAAUUUCUAAGAAAGAACUAAUAACCGAUAGGCCAUUAUGUAAAAUUGAAACGUUUUAUUUGUACGGCCCAAGGAAAUUGAAUAUCCUCUUAACGCAACUGAGAUGUUCCGCUUCGUUCUUAAACAAUGACCUAUUUAGAGCUAAUAUUCUAAAGGAUCCAUCUUGUCAUUGUGGGUCAGAUACUGAAGAUGUUUACCAUUACUUCUUUGUUUGUCCAAAAUACACAUCAUGUAGAAAAAUCUUAUUUAAUAAUCUUAACUGGCUAUCCGAAAACUUUGUUUUAGAUACAAAACUAUUUACUUGCGGUCACUUAAACUUUCGAACGAUCAAAAUAAAUAUUCAAAUUUUCAAACAUGUUGAAAAUUUCAUAAAAAGGUCAAACAGAUUUCUAAUGCCUUGAUAGGGCGUUAUUGUUACUGGCACGGAACGUUAUCGUCACAGAAUCAUAUGACAAAUUUUCUUUUUUCUCUUUUUUUUUUCUCUCUCUCUCCUCUUUUUUACCUAUGAAAGCUAUUGUUAUAUUCUAUAAACUGUUUGCUUUACAUGCAUGUCCAUUAUAUUAUACUAUUAUUGUAAUUUUAUAUUGUAUUAUGGAGAUCACUUCAUAAGCAUGAUUUACUUGUGUCUAAUCCAUUUUGCUUGAAUUCAGCAAAUAACAUAUGUUUAAACUAAUAGUGUUUCCUUAAACUGCCAAAUUUCAUUACUCUCGAAAUCUAAAUUGCAUGGAUAAUACUCCGACAUAGAUACUCAUAUUGUUCUAAUAAUGUUUAGUAUAGAAAAUGUUCAUGCUGUUCAGUUCUGCAUUCAACACUUUCAACUAAGCUGAUUUUUUUUUCUCAAGAUAACAGCAAAAGAUUAUGAAAAUUGUUAAAAAUGGAUAUCUAGUAGACAUUUACUUGUAAAAUGAGGUUGUUAAAUUUGAUGUAUGUCCUUUUUGUGCUUGUUUGCUGCAUUUGUUUGUUUUAUAGUGAUUAAAAGGGGGACGAAAGAUACCAGAGGGACAGUCAAACUCAUAAAAAAAAAAACUGACAACGCCAUGGCUAAAAAUGAAAAAAGACAAACAGACAAACAAUAGUACACAUGACACAACAUAGAAAACUAAAGAAUAAGCAACACGAACCCCACCAAAAACUAGAGGUGAUCUC